GCUGGGCGUGGUGGCUCACGUCUGUAAUCCAAGCUCUUUGGAGGCCAAGGCGGGUGGAUCACCUGAGGUUGGGAGUUCAAGACCAGCCUGACCAACAGGGUGAAACCCUGUCUUUA
Molecule: unclassified non-coding RNA, 116 nt
Organism: Callithrix jacchus (white-tufted-ear marmoset)
Lineage: Eukaryota; Metazoa; Chordata; Mammalia; Primates; Cebidae
Rfam family: Metazoan signal recognition particle RNA
About the family: The signal recognition particle (SRP) is a universally conserved ribonucleoprotein. It is involved in the co-translational targeting of proteins to membranes.
Source: Ensembl